Molecule: ribosomal RNA, 877 nt
Filed under: uncultured Alkalibacterium sp.
Lineage: Bacteria; Bacillati; Bacillota; Bacilli; Lactobacillales; Carnobacteriaceae
Description: bacterial SSU rRNA
Rfam family: Bacterial small subunit ribosomal RNA
Source: RNAcentral
GACGAACGCUGGCGGUAUGCCUAAUACAUGCAAGUCGAACGCUGAAGCACUCUGCUUGCAGAGUGUAGAUGUGUGGCGAACGGGUGAGUAACACGUGGGGAACCUGCCCAUAAGAGGGGGAUAACAUCCGGAAACGGGUGCUAAUACCGCAUAGGUGAUCAUAGCGCAUGCUUAGAUCAUUAAAGAUGGCUUCGGCUAUCGCUUAUGGAUGGCCCCGCGGCGUAUUAGCUAGUUGGUGAGGUAAUGGCUCACCAAGGCUGUGAUACGUAGCCGACCUGAGAGGGUGAUCGGCCACACUGGAACUGAGACACGGUCCAGACUCCUACGGGAGGCAGCAGUAGGGAAUCUUCCACAAUGGGCGAAAGCCUGAUGGAGCAAUACCGCGUGAGUGAAGAAGGUCUUCGGAUCGUAAAGCUCUGUUGUUAGAGAAGAAUAAGAGGUGUAGUAACUGGCACCUCCUUGACGGUAUCUAACCAGAAAGUCACGGCUAACUACGUGCCAGCAGCCGCGGUAAUACGUAGGUGACAAGCGUUGUCCGGAUUUAUUGGGCGUAAAGCGAGCGCAGGCGGUCUUUUAAGUCUGAUGUGAAAGCCCACGGCUCAACCGUGGAGGGUCAUUGGAAACUGGAAGACUUGAAUGCAGAAGAGGAAAGUGGAAUUCCAUGUGUAGCGGUGAAAUGCGUAGAUAUAUGGAGGAACACCAGUGGCGAAGGCGACUUUCUGGUCUGUAAUUGACGCUGAGGCUCGAAAGCGUGGGGAGCGAACAGGAUUAGAUACCCUGGUAGUCCACGCCGUAAACGAUGAGUGCUAAGUGUUGGAGGGUUUCCGCCCUUCAGUGCUGGAGCUAACGCAUUAAGCACUCCGCCUGGGGAGUACGG